AUGAACGCUGGCGGCGUGCUUAACACAUGCAAGUCGCACGAAGCACUUUAACCUGAUUCUUCGGAUGAAGUUUUUUGUGACUGAGUGGCGGACGGGUGAGUAACGCGUGGGUAACCUGCCUCAUCCAGGGGGAUAACAGUUAGAAAUGACUGCUAAUACCGCAUCAGACCACAGAGCCGCAUGGCUCGGUGGGAAAAACUCCGGUGGUAUGAGAUGGACCCGCGUCUGAUUAGGUAGUUGGUGGGGUAACGGCCUACCAAACCAACGAUCAGUAGCCGACCGGAGAGGGAGACCGGCGACAUUGGGACUGAGAAACGGCACAAAAUCCUACGAGAGGAAGCAGAGGGGAAUAGUGCACAAUGGGGGAAACCAUGAUGCAGCGACGACGCGUGAGCGAAGAAGUAUUGCGGUAUGUAAAGCGCUAUCAGCAGGGAAGAAAAUGACGGUACCUGACUAAGAAGCACCGGCUAAAUACGUG
Molecule: ribosomal RNA, 478 nt
Filed under: uncultured bacterium
Lineage: Bacteria
Description: partial 16S ribosomal RNA
Rfam family: Bacterial small subunit ribosomal RNA
Source: RNAcentral